GGGCCGGUAGCUCAGCCAGGUCAGAGCGACAGUCUUAUAAACUGUAGGUCCGGAGUUCAAAUCUCCGCCGGCCCA
This 75-nucleotide transfer RNA is filed under the name Microcaldota archaeon. Its description in RNAcentral is "Candidatus Micrarchaeota archaeon (hot springs metagenome) tRNA-Ile". It matches the Rfam family "tRNA". From Rfam's summary of the family: Transfer RNA (tRNA) molecules are approximately 80 nucleotides in length. The record is from RNAcentral. Lineage: Archaea; Nanobdellati; Microcaldota. RNAcentral also lists the same sequence under 1 other name.